Molecule: ribosomal RNA, 602 nt
Filed under: uncultured freshwater bacterium
Lineage: Bacteria
Description: bacterial SSU rRNA
Rfam family: Bacterial small subunit ribosomal RNA
Source: RNAcentral
AGAGUUUGAUCCUGGCUCAGAUUGAACGCUGGCGGCAUGCCUUACACAUGCAAGUCGAACGGUAACGCGGGGCAACCUGGCGACGAGUGGCGAACGGGUGAGUAACGCAUCGGAACGUGCCCAGUAGUGGGGGAUAGCCCGGCGAAAGCCGGAUUAAUACCGCAUACGACCUACGGGUGAAAGCGGGGGACCGUAAGGCCUCGCGCUAUUGGAGCGGCCGAUGUCAGAUUAGGUAGUUGGUGGGGUAAAAGCCUACCAAGCCGACGAUCUGUAGCUGGUCUGAGAGGACGACCAGCCACACUGGGACUGAGACACGGCCCAGACUCCUACGGGAGGCAGCAGUGGGGAAUUUUGGACAAUGGGCGCAAGCCUGAUCCAGCCAUGCCGCGUGCGGGAUGAAGGCCUUCGGGUUGUAAACCGCUUUUGUCAGGGAAGAAACGCUCCGGGCCAAUACCCUGGGGUAAUGACGGUACCUGAAGAAUAAGCACCGGCUAACUACGUGCCGGCAGCCGCGGUAAUACGUAGGGUGCAAGCGUUAAUCGGAAUUACUGGGCGUAAAGCGUGCGCAGGCGGUUNUGUAAGACAGAGGUGAAAUCCCCGGG